ACAGCGUCACCACGGCAACAGCGUCACCCACGGCAACAGUGUCACCCAUGGCAACAGCGUCACCCACAGCUACAGUCGGACAUCCACAGCAACAGUAUCACCCAUGGCAACAGCGUCACACAUGGCUACAACAUCACCCACAGCAACAGCGUCACCACGGCAACAGCGUCACACACAGCAACAGCGUCACCCACAGCUACAGUCAGACAUCCACAGCAACAGCGUCACCCAUGGCAACAGCGUCACCCACAGCAACAGUGUCACCCAUGGCAACAGUGUCACCCAUGGCAACAGCAUCACACAC
Molecule: long non-coding RNA, 304 nt
Filed under: Numida meleagris (helmeted guineafowl)
Lineage: Eukaryota; Metazoa; Chordata; Aves; Galliformes; Numididae
Description: lncRNA (ENSNMEG00000002748.1)
Source: RNAcentral